CGGGGGGGGCAAGCGUUGUUCGGAAUUACUGGGCGUAAAGGGCUCGUAGGCGGCCAACUAAGUCCGACGUGAAAUCCCCAGGCUCAACCUGGGAACUGCGUCGGAUACUGGAUGGCUUGAAUUCGGGAGAGGGAUGCAGAAUUCCAGGUGUAGCGGUGAAAUGCGUAGAUAUCUGGAGGAAUACCGGUGGCGAAGGCGGCAUCCUGGACCGACAUUGACGCUGAUGAGCGAAAGCUAGGGGAGCAAACGGGAUUAGAUACCCCGGUAGUCCUAGCCCUAAACGAUGAAUGCUUGGUAUGACGGGUAUCGAUCCCUGUCGUGCCGAAGCUAACGCAUUAAGCAUUCCGCCUGGGGAGUACGGUCGCAAGGCUGA
This 373-nucleotide ribosomal RNA is filed under the name uncultured organism. Its description in RNAcentral is "bacterial SSU rRNA". It matches the Rfam family "Bacterial small subunit ribosomal RNA", at positions 526 to 897 of the family's 1533-position model. The record is from RNAcentral.